AAGUACUGUUGUUUUGUGUAGAAAAGCCAGGUGAAAGACAAGUACUGUUGUUUUGUGUAGAAAAGCCAGGUGAAAGACAAGUACUGUUGUUUUGUGUAGAAAAGCCAGGUGAAAGACAAGUACUGUUGUUUUGUGUGGAAAAGCCAGGUGAAAGACAAGUACUGUUGUGUUGUGUAGAAAAGCCAGGUGAAAGAGAAGUACUGUUAUUUUGUGUAGAAAAGUCAGGUUAAAGACAAGUACUGUUGUUUUGAGUAGAAAAGCCAGGUGAAAGACAAGUACUGUUGUUUUGUGUAG
Long non-coding RNA from Branchiostoma belcheri (Belcher's lancelet), 294 nucleotides. RefSeq lists it as uncharacterized. The record is from RefSeq and is a predicted model, not a curated record. The transcript has 3 exons. NCBI's taxonomy places the organism in Eukaryota, Metazoa, Chordata, Leptocardii, Amphioxiformes, Branchiostomatidae.